GUGAAUCAUCGAAUUUUUGAACGCAAAUUGCACUCUCUGGGAAGCGUGAGAGUAUGUCUGUGUGAGGGUAAGUUUAAAUGAAAAUCGGUGUGGUUGCUGCCUUUCGUGGUGACGCACCGGAUGUGGGUCGUCUUGCCGUCUGUUAAGUGACCUAAAAUUUUGCAUGAUUUUUUUCGAACGUAUUUAAAUGAAUUUACGUACGUUUGCGAUAUAGAAUACUAUGUGUGGUCAUACUCAUGAUUCGGGC
Molecule: unclassified non-coding RNA, 247 nt
Filed under: Glomus sp.
Lineage: Eukaryota; Fungi; Glomeromycota; Glomeromycetes; Glomerales; Glomeraceae
Description: partial internal transcribed spacer 2
Rfam family: 5.8S ribosomal RNA (bases 1-71)
Source: RNAcentral